This 296-nucleotide long non-coding RNA is filed under the name Bos taurus (domestic cattle). Its description in RNAcentral is "long non-coding RNA NONBTAT016063". Lineage: Eukaryota; Metazoa; Chordata; Mammalia; Artiodactyla; Bovidae. The record is from RNAcentral.
UAUGAAACAAAAGAAAUUUAAUUUCAGAAUAUUACAUGAAUAUAAAAGAAAAACAAUACAUGUUUCUUUACAGUUACAUAUAUAUAUAUACAGGAUAUAGUUGAAUAAGAAUGAAAAAAUUAAAAAUGGUUAGACAGUUAAGAAACCUUGCUUCUCUUGUUGAGCGAGCUUGGGGGUAGUGAAAAGGCAAGCCUUGCUAUGUAGUAAAGGACCCUGGGGCAGGGGUGCUUUUCCCAACCAGUUCUGCUGGUCCCCAGACAUGUCUGGGGGAGUGCUCAAUGGCUCCUUAGCAUCUG